Prunus avium (sweet cherry) is the source of this 1237-nucleotide non-coding RNA. The record is from RefSeq and is a predicted model, not a curated record. Lineage: Eukaryota; Viridiplantae; Streptophyta; Magnoliopsida; Rosales; Rosaceae.
AGGGCAAGGGAAUGCCAUGUCUCCUCAAAUUGCAGAUUCAGAAUUGUAAGAAAUUAUCUUAAGAAUAUUGCAUCUCUCUUCAGGAGUUGGAGAUUUUUUGUUGUGAUGGAUUGACAAGUCUACCGAGUGGGCUAUCAUCCUGCACAUCUCUUAAGAAGUUGAGAAUCAAGUCAUGCCACAAUUUGAUAUCUCUGGCAGAUCUAGAUGUAUCCAGGUUGCAGUCCCUUUCCUCUUUAGAUAUAUUUAAUUGUGGGAAAUUAAACUAUUUGCCAAUAGAGGGGCUACGCUCUCUUACGCGUUUAGAAUCUAUGAAAAUGGGUCCAUUUUCAGAGGAGCUUGAUUCUGUCCCUGAUUUUGAGCUUCCAUCACAAACUAGCUAGCAGAGUUGGAGCACAAAGCGAGUCUACUCUUCUUCUCUCAUCAGAUUAAUUGUUAAACUAGAUUUUCAGAGCUUUCUACUCUUCUCUAGCCUCUGCUUAAUGUUUUCCAUAUCUUCCUAUAUCCGUUGUUGGUUUGCAGAAGGAUCUUAGUCCAGAGGGGAUGGGGAUGUAUUUGCUAUAGAUCCUUGCAUGAGGUAGGUGGAGGUGUCCAUCAGAUGGAUUUGUGAAGCUGAUCAACCACGAUGUGUCAUGGCAAGCACAAACUGAUAAGGAUGAAACAUGGUGGUUUGCAGGAAUCAUGAGAUAAUAUUGAUACAGGCCAUUAUGUGUUGGCUGCCAGUGGUAGUAAUCUUGUAUGAGCUAGUUCUUUGCUUGUUAUGGCUGAAGAUCACAGGGUAGCCAAAGCUCAAGUCUCUCUACCUCGACAACAAUUUCAACACUGCAUUUGUCUACAAGACUUGUAUAUGAAGGAUUUCGACAGCUUGGAGGCUCCUCCAGAGUGGUUGGGGUAACCUUACAUCUCUUACCCAUCUGAGGAUUAAGGCGUGUGAGAAUCUGGUGUAUCUUCCUGCCAUUGAGGUUAUGCAACGCCUCACUAAACUUGUUACAUGUCCAGGUCUAGGGGGAAGAUCCACCCUCCUGAGCGGCCCAGAAUGGCACAAGAUUUCUCACAUCCCAUGUAUAUCAGGUAAUUAUAUUCUCAAAAGAAAUCCUUCAUUGUUUGUUCAAUUCCCUUCUCACUUUUCUUUUCUUCAGUAUUGACCAAACACCUUUUUUAAUUAAUUGACCCACUCCCACUCCAAAGAUGUAACCCAUUUUCUGUCUUUGAAGAACAAUUCUUAAUCCAUUUUGAUUCA